Molecule: ribosomal RNA, 482 nt
Filed under: uncultured organism
Description: bacterial SSU rRNA
Rfam family: Bacterial small subunit ribosomal RNA
Source: RNAcentral
AUUGAACGCUGGCGGCAUGCCUUACACAUGCAAGUCGAACGGUAACGCGGGGCAACCUGGCGACGAGUGGCGAACGGGUGAGUAACGCAUCGGAACGUGCCCAGUAGUGGGGGAUAGCCCGGCGAAAGCCGGAUUAAUACCGCAUACGACCUCAGGGUGAAAGCGGGGGAUCGCAAGACCUCGCGCUAUUGGAGCGGCCGAUGUCAGAUUAGGUAGUUGGUGGGGUAAAAGCCUACCAAGCCUGCGAUCUGUAGCUGGUCUGAGAGGGCGACCAGCCACACUGGGACUGAGACACGGCCCAGACUCCUACGGGAGGCAGCAGUGGGGAAUUUUGGACAAUGGGCGAAAGCCUGAUCCAGCCAUGCCGCGUGCGGGAAGAAGGCCUUCGGGUUGUAAACCGCUUUUGUCGGGGAAGAAACGUCGCGACCUAAUACGUCGCGGUAAUGACGGUACCUGAAGAAUAAGCACCGGCUAACUACGUG